Molecule: long non-coding RNA, 457 nt
Organism: Pleuronectes platessa (European plaice)
Lineage: Eukaryota; Metazoa; Chordata; Actinopteri; Pleuronectiformes; Pleuronectidae
Exons: 3
Source: RefSeq, a predicted model, not a curated record
ACACGCUCGGCCCCCUUCAGGGAGCCGACGGAGGCCUGCGUCUGUGGGCAGGCGAAUGGCUCAGGGGCUUUACGGAGACCUUUCAGGGCAGCAAAUGUGUGUGACUCAGGUGUUUAUAACCAGCCGGAGCGGUUUGACCAUCUUAACUUCACCUAAAUGAAUCACCUGAGACGUGUUGGCUAAGCUGAAGCAUGCAGGGCCUAGAAAGAAUUUCCAAGGAAAACUGUUCACGAAGAUUGUGCAGAGCAAUGGAGACAUCUGGUCUACCUCUAAGCCCCACAAGCAAAACUCCAUCCACCUCCAUUGUUCAGGAGACUGACAUUUAAAAAAACUAGAUGAUUGAAACCGAAACUUUUUGCACGACCAGACACAAUAUGAGGUAUUGCAGAAACAAGUGUUGUUUGUGUGUGUGUGUGUGUGUGUUUGUGUGUAACUUGAGAAUGCUGACCCUUUCUUA